AGGACGAACGCUGGCGGCGUGCUUAACACAUGCAAGUCGAGCGGAAAGGCCCUUCGGGGUACUCGAGCGGCGAACGGGUGAGUAACACGUGGGCAACCUGCCCUUAGCUCUGGGAUAGCUCCGGGAAACCGGAAUUAAUACCGGAUAUGACCUAGGCCGACAUCGGCCGUGGUGGAAAGUUUUUCGGCUAGGGAUGGACUCGCGGCCUAUCAGCUAGUUGGUGGGGUAAUGGCCUACCAAGGCGACGACGGGUAGCCGGCCUGAGAGGGCGACCGGCCACACUGGGACUGAGACACGGCCCAGACUCCUACGGGAGGCAGCAGUGGGGAAUCUUGCGCAAUGGGCGAAAGCCUGACGCAGCGACGCCGCGUGGGGGAUGAAGGCCUUCGGGUUGUAAACCCCGUUUCAGCAGGGACGAAGCGAAAGUGACGGUACCUGCAGAAGAAGCGCCGGCUAACUACGCGCCAGCAGCCGC
RNAcentral lists this ribosomal RNA (475 nucleotides) under uncultured bacterium. RNAcentral's name for it is "SSU rRNA". It matches the Rfam family "Bacterial small subunit ribosomal RNA", at positions 26 to 518 of the family's 1533-position model. The record is from RNAcentral.